AACGAACGCUGGCGGCAGGCUUAACACAUGCAAGUCGAACGCCCCGCAAGGGGAGUGGCAGACGGGUGAGUAACGCGUGGGAACAUACCCUUUUCUACGGAAUAGCUCUGGGAAACUGGAAUUAAUACCGUAUACGCCCUACGGGGGAAAGAUUUAUCGGGGAAGGAUUGGCCCGCGUUGGAUUAGCUAGUUGGUGGGGUAAAGGCCUACCAAGGCGACGAUCCAUAGCUGGUCUGAGAGGAUGAUCAGCCACAUUGGGACUGAGACACGGCCCAAACUCCUACGGGAGGCAGCAGUGGGGAAUAUUGGACAAUGAGCGCAAGCCUGAUCCAGCCAUGCCGCGUGAGUGAUGAAGGCCUUAGGGUUGUAAAGCUCUUUCACCGAUGAAGAUAAUGACGGUAGUCGGAGAAGAAGCCCCGGCUAACUUCGUG
Molecule: ribosomal RNA, 431 nt
Filed under: uncultured bacterium
Lineage: Bacteria
Description: partial 16S ribosomal RNA
Rfam family: Bacterial small subunit ribosomal RNA
Source: RNAcentral